GGGAUGGCAGUGGCGGGUGCUAUAAUGCAGUCGAACGAGUUCUGAUUAUUGAAAGGUGCUUGCAUCUUGAUUUAAUUUUGAACGAGUGGCGGACGGGUGAGUAACACGUGGGUAACCUGCCCUUAAGUGGGGGAUAACAUUUGGAAACAGAUGCUAAUACCGCAUAAAUCCAAGAACCGCAUGGUUCUUGGCUGAAAGAUGGCGUAAGCUAUCGCUUUUGGAUGGACCCGCGGCGUAUUAGCUAGUUGGUGAGGUAACGGCUCACCAAGGCAAUGAUACGUAGCCGAACUGAGAGGUUGAUCGGCCACAUUGGGACUGAGACACGGCCCAAACUCCUACGGGAGGCAGCAGUAGGGAAUCUUCCACAAUGGACGCAAGUCUGAUGGAGCAACGCCGCGUGAGUGAAGAAGGCUUUCGGGUCGUAAAACUCUGUUGUUGGAGAAGAAUGGUCGGCAGAGUAACUGUUGUCGGCGUGACGGUAUCCAACCAGAAAGCCACGGCUAACUACGUGCCAGCAGCCGCGGUAAUACGUAGGUGGCAAGCGUUAUCCGGAUUUAUUGGGCGUAAAGCGAGCGCAGGCGGUUUUUUAAGUCUGAUGUGAAAGCCCUCGGCUUAACCGAGGAAGUGCAUCGGAAACUGGGAAACUUGAGUGCAGAAGAGGACAGUGGAACUCCAUGUGUAGCGGUGAAAUGCGUAGAUAUAUGGAAGAACACCAGUGGCGAAGGCGGCUGUCUGGUCUGUAACUGACGCUGAGGCUCGAAAGCAUGGGUAGCGAACAGGAUUAGAUACCCUGGUAGUCCAUGCCGUAAACGAUGAAUGCUAGGUGUUGGAGGGUUUCCGCCCUUCAGUGCCGCAGCUAACGCAUUAAGCAUUCCGCCUGGGGAGUACGACCGCAAGGUUGAAACUCAAAGGAAUUGACGGGGGGCCCGCACAAGCGGUGGAGCAUGUGGUUUUAAUUUCGAAGCAACGCGAAGAACUUUACCAGGUCUGACAUCUUU
Molecule: ribosomal RNA, 998 nt
Filed under: Lacticaseibacillus rhamnosus
Lineage: Bacteria; Bacillati; Bacillota; Bacilli; Lactobacillales; Lactobacillaceae
Description: bacterial SSU rRNA
Rfam family: Bacterial small subunit ribosomal RNA
Source: RNAcentral